RNAcentral lists this non-coding RNA (21 nucleotides) under Caenorhabditis elegans. Lineage: Eukaryota; Metazoa; Nematoda; Chromadorea; Rhabditida; Rhabditidae. The record is from RNAcentral.
UUUGGCUUUAAAUUUGUUGGA